This 334-nucleotide long non-coding RNA is filed under the name Androctonus crassicauda. The record is from RNAcentral. Lineage: Eukaryota; Metazoa; Arthropoda; Arachnida; Scorpiones; Buthidae.
UUUCAAGUAGAAAAGUUGAUGAAGUUUUCAUGUUACAAAAAAUGCAUGCUGAUUAAAGUAGCUUCAGUAAAUUUUAAUGCUUUGUCAGAUUUUAAAAUUUCAACACCCAUAUUUUCAGUUAUUAAAGAAUGGACAUGUUUAAUAAAUCAAAAAACAUUAAGCUUACCUGCACUUGUAUUGGAUGAAAGCAUACCACCAGCUACUGCAGCUUUACAAAAUGUUCAGUUGGAAGAAUUAUUAUUUUUACAUAAACAUAUAUUAUCAUUAGAAGAAGCAAUUCAACUUGAAUAAGAUACUGUAGAACAAAGUUCUUCUCAACUUUGGAAAAAUGCUC